GGCCUAACACAUGCAAGUCGAGCGGCAGCGACUUAACUGAACCUUCGGGGGACGUUAAGGGCGGCGAGCGGCGGACGGGUGAGUAAUGGCUGGGAACCUGCCCGGUAGAGGGGGAUAACCACUGGAAACGGUGGCUAAUACCGCAUGAUGUCUACGGACCAAAGAGGAGGACCUUCGGGCUUCUCGCUACCGGAUGGGCCCAGUUGGGAUUAGCUAGUUGGUGAGGUAAUGGCUCACCAAGGCGACGAUCCCUAGCUGGUUUGAGAGGAUGAUCAGCCACACUGGAACUGAGACACGGUCCAGACUCCUACGGGAGGCAGCAGUGGGGAAUAUUGCACAAUGGGCGCAAGCCUGAUGCAGCCAUGCCGCGUGUGUGAAGAAGGCCUUCGGGUUGUAAAGCACUUUCAGCAGUGAGGAAGGUGGUGUAGUUAAUACCUGCAUCAUUUGACGUUAGCUGCAGAAGAAGCACCGGCUAACUCCGUGCCAGCAGCCGCGGUAAUACGGAGGGUGCGAGCGUUAAUCGGAAUUACUGGGCGUAAAGCGCAUGCAGGCGGUUUGUUAAGCAAGAUGUGAAAGCCCCGGGCUUAACCUGGGAACCGCAUUUUGAACUGGCAGGCUAGAGUCUUGUAGAGGGGGGUAGAAUUUCAGGUGUAGCGGUGAAAUGCGUAGAGAUCUGAAGGAAUACCGGUGGGCGAAGGCGGCCCCCUGGACAAAGACUGACGCUCANAUGCGAAAGCGUGGGGAGCAAACAGGGAUUAGAUACCCUGGUAGUCCACNCCGUAAAACGAUGUCUACUUGGNGNGCUGGGGACCUUNAGUCGGGGGUUNCGGGAGCUAACGGCGGUGAAGNAGACCGCCUG
This 859-nucleotide ribosomal RNA is filed under the name Enterovibrio sp. Dec07-MA-1BB-3. RNAcentral's name for it is "bacterial SSU rRNA". It matches the Rfam family "Bacterial small subunit ribosomal RNA", at positions 45 to 875 of the family's 1533-position model. The record is from RNAcentral. Lineage: Bacteria; Pseudomonadati; Pseudomonadota; Gammaproteobacteria; Vibrionales; Vibrionaceae.